CGGGUGAGUAAAGUAUAGGUUACGUGCCUUCGGGUCCGGGAUAACAGUUGGAAACGGCUGCUAAUACCGGAUAUUCCCUACGGGGGAAAAGUCCGCUGCCCGGGGAUCGGCCUAUAUCGUAUCAGCUUGUUGGUGGGGUAACGGCUCACCAAGGCUAUGACGCGUAGCUGGUCUGAGAGGAUGAUCAGCCACACUGGAACUGAGACACGGUCCAGACUCCUACGGGAGGCAGCAGUGGGGAAUAUUGCGCAAUGGGGGAAACCCUGACGCAGCAACGCCGCGUGGAGGACGACACAUUUCGGUGCGUAAACUCCUUUUAUCAGGGAAGAUAAUGACGGUACCUGAUGAAUAAGCACCGGCUAACUCCGUGCCAGCAGCCGCGGUAAUACGGGGGGUGCAAGCGUUACUCGGAAUCACUGGGCGUAAAGGGUGCGUAGGCGUCCUGAUAAGUAUUCUGUGAAAGCCACUGGCUCAACCAGUGAAUUGCAGAGUAAACUGUCAGGAUAGAGUAUGGAAGGGGCAGGUGGAAUUUCCGGUGUAGGGGUAAAAUCCGUAGAGAUCGGAAGGAAUACCGACGGCGAAGGCAACCUGCUGGGACAUUACUGACGCUGAGGCACGAAAGCGUGGGGAGCAAACAGGAUUAGAUACCCUGGUAGUCCACGCCCUAAACGAUGGAUGCUAGUUGUCGUGGCGCUUAGACGUUGCGGUAACGCAGCUAACGCAUUAAGCAUCCCGCCUGGGGAGUACGGUCGCAAGAUUAAAACUCAAAGGAAUAGACGGGGACCCGCACAAGCGGUGGAGCAUGUGGUUUAAUUCGAAAAUACGCGAAGAACCUUACCAGGGCUUGACAUCCCGAGAAUCUUUUGGAAACAAGAGAGUGCCUGCUUGCAGGAAUUCGGUGACAGGUGCUGCACGGCCGUCGUCAGCUCGUGUCGUGAGAUGUUGGGUUAAGUCCCGCAACGAGCGCAACCCUCGUCGUUAGUUGCCAGCAGUUCGGCUGGGCACUCUAACGAGACUGCCCUCGCAAGGGGGAGGAAGGUGAGGACGACGUCAGGUCAUCAUGGCCCUUAUGUCCUGGGCUACACACGUGCUACAAUGGUUGGUACAGUGAGACGCGAGACCGCGAGGUGGAGCAAAUCUCCAAAGCCAAUCCCAGUUCGGAUUGUUCUCUGCAACUCGAGAGCAUGAAGCUGGAAUCGCUAGUAAUCGUAGAUCAGCAAUGCUACGGUGAAUACGUUCCCGGGUCUUGUACUCACCGCCCGUCACACCAUGGGAGUUGAUUUCACCCGAAGACGGGAUGCUAACCUUCGGGAGGCUACCGUCCACGGUGGGAUCAGCGACUGGGGUGAAGUCGGAACAAGGUA
This 1364-nucleotide ribosomal RNA is filed under the name metagenome. Its description in RNAcentral is "bacterial SSU rRNA". It matches the Rfam family "Bacterial small subunit ribosomal RNA". The record is from RNAcentral.